UCAGCUUUUUAAUGCUUACAUAAUAAAUAGAGCACAGGCAUGUUUCACUGAGUCCUCUGCUUGGGUCUCAGCCAAGCUCUAAUCCAGGUGUCUGGCUGGCUAAGUUUGCAUUGAGCUUUAACCAGAGAAAAGAUCCACUUCCAAGCUCACUCAUCUUAUGGGCAAGAUUCAGUUCUUUGCAGUUGUUGGACUGAAGGCUUCAAUUUCCUGUUGUUCAGAGACCACCUCAGCUCCUAGAGGUGCCCUUAGUUCCUGCCACGUGGGUUAUCCAACAUGACCACGUGCCUUCUCAAAACCAGCAAAGCAGAGAGAGAGAGAGUCCAACAAAACUGAUGUUAAAUUUUACAUUAUUGUAAUCAUGGACAUCUGGCCACCUUUGCGGUAGUCAGUUGGUUAGAUGCAUGUCACAGAUCCUUCCCACACUCAUGGGGAAGGAAUUGAACAAGGUCAUGAACUCCAGGAUGGGGGCGGCUUACUGAGGCCAUUUGAAGAGUCUGUCCACCACAAAUAUAAAGCUGGGAAAGGCUAUAAUAUACCAGCGAAACCAAAACAAAUAAAUAGAAUUUUAACAUGUAAAGGACAAAGAAAUUAUUCUGGGAAUAGAGGAAAUUGUCAAAAAAUUAUUAUGAAUUUGUACAUUCUUAAAACCAAAACAGCAUGAUGUAAAAGAAAAGCAAUCAAAAAUAAGAAAGCACAUAUGAAAAAUGUUAAUCCAAUAGUUGAACUAUUUUAAUAAUCAAUCAUAAAUAAAGACAGGAAAACUUCCAAGACAGUAGAGACUCAUCAUGUUUCUAAUUUUUUUCAUCAACAUAUUCAAUAAAAAAUAAAUAGAGUGUAUGCAGGACUUCAAAGUUAUGAUGGUAAAUUCUACAAGAAAUGAGGAGUGAUUAAUUAUCUUUGAGGAAUUGGGUGGGAGUGAGAGAAGGAUAAGCUGUUUUAUGAUAUCUUUUAAUAGUAGAUACAGUUCUUAAAUAUAUGAUUAUAUUGCUUUAACUUUAAAAAAAAAUAGACAAUGACAGUGCCAGGACUUUAACUUCAAGAAUGAAAAACAAAUCUAAGAGAACCAUAGAAUGGCAUUACCUUGACAAAUAUAACCUGUUCUAUAUUUUGGCUCCCUGUCCUAUGGAUUCAGAUCCCUGGCUUUUCAAUGAAUGCAUCUGUAGUAGUAGACUCACAUUAAUCAAUGUAACAGAGACUGAUGUAUAAACCGUAACACUAACUUACAAUUUAUAGUGAAGUACACAAUCACCAGAGACCAUUUUUCUUCAUAGAGAGCCUAGGAAUCCAAACUAUAAUCAGAGAAUUGCAAUGGUAGAUCUGGGCUCACAACAAGGGAGUCAGCUGGAUAAAUGGGAUAUAUGGAAUCUUUUGAUGGAAGAGUCUUGUUUAGGGUAUGGGAAUAUUUAUCGUCCUUGCCCCUAGACUAAGUUUCUAUAGGCCCAGCCAAUCUUUGUCUCUGUGACCCUCCUUUUACUCUGCUUACUUGGCUGAUAAAAUUGGCCCUUCAUUUACACACCUAAUUGAUUAAGACAUGACAUCAUUCAGGUCGUUGUCAAGUUAAGCUUUCCUGGGCACUACUCUGUGUCAUUAAGAAAGGUUUGCACAUCUUUGCCCUGAUCAGCUACUUCUGUAUUGUAAGGUUUAACUCUCAGGGAACAAUCGUAGUUUGACUAUUUUCAAGUGGUUAAGAAAUCAUUCCACUAUUUUCCCAAAGUACCAAAAUAGAUAUUAAUAGAAUAUUGGCUAAGAUAACCCUGUUUCCAAUAUUAAUUGAUUAGUCUAUUUUAAAAUAACUCUGUUUAGAACUACUUUAAGUUAUCUUUAAUUAAAAACAGAGGCUUUUACUCUCUACUUAUUUGAUAGUGAUUAAUGAGCACUUUAAAAGUGCUUCAUCUUCCUAAGAAUUAAGCUCAGAAAAAACUCUAAACUCCCCAUAAAAUAAAGAGAAGAAAUAAAUUAUUUUCUCAGCUGCUAUCUCCUCAAAUAUUGCUUCUGUCCAUUUUCUUUCUUCUCUCAUCCUGAAACUCUGGUCCUUUCGCCAUGUAUUUCAAGUCUAAUAUUCUCUCUUGUCUUUCUCAUCUUUAGUCUCUGCUUGCUUAAAUCUGGCUAUUUUCUUGUGGUCUAUCUUCCAGUUUAAUAAUUCUCUCUUCAGCUGUUUCCAUUCUGUUGUAAAACAUGCUCCUUGCAUUUUUAAUUUGUUAUUGUAUUUUUCAGUUCUAGAAUUUCUUUUUUUCCCCCAAAGCUGCUCUAACUUCCACAGAUGAAUAUGUUUGGUAUUCUAUUAAUAUUUUAAAUCUUGUUUUUCAUAUCCUUGAACACCAUAAACACAAUUAUUUUGGAGACUGUGUCUGAUAAUUAUUUUAUUUAGGGUGCUUGUGUGCCAGAUCUUUCUGCUAGUUCUAAGUUAGGUUGUCACGUCUCCUGUGCUUCUGGCAAUCUUUGAUAAAAUGCCAAACAAGUAUUUAAGAGAUUGCUUAGAAACAAUUUGAGACUUGAUAGGAUGUUGCUUUCUCCAGAGAUUAUUUUCUUUUAUUUCAGCCAGGUGCCUGGAGAUACCAUCAAUCUGGGAUUACCUUAAUACAAUUUCAGUGGUGAUAUUUUUUAGGGCCACUCAGGUGUCUUGAAGCUGAGACAAGUAUAUGGGAGAACAGGUUUACCUUUAGUUCCUCCUUACUCCUCACUCAAAAGAGUUGGGAUCCCAACUCAGUUUCAGGGUUUUAUGAAGGCCUUAAUCUUGGCAGAACUUGGACUCCUGCACUUGACUUCCUGCCUCAUGAGGGAGCCAAAAGUGUUGCUCGGCUUCCCAGCCUCCUCUUCCUGAAAAAGCAGAAACCCCCAGACACAGCCAGCACCCGAUGCCAGCUGCACUUCUCUAGAUUUCUUUCUUUUCCUAGAUCUUCAUCCAGACAGUGUUACCACCUUGUUACAGCUCCAAUUCCUUUAAACACUUUUAAAAGACAUUUUAUUCAGCUUUAGAGUUGUUUUCAUUUGGAUUAUUGAUCCAAAUUAUCUAGUCAGUCCAAAUAACUAGAGGUGGAAAUCACUUAAAACUCUGAUGAAUAAAGAUGAGUGAUGUGUCCUUUUUCCAUGAAUACAUUUCUCCAAGCCUCAGUUUUAAAAUGUUCCAUACUUUAAAUAUUUACACUUCAGUUUACAAUCUAUAACCACCCACUUUAAUAAACUCAAAGUCCAAAGUGUUAAUUAGGACUCACACCACAGCAGUUUUUUUUUCCUUGCCAUUCAUUCAACAUUCUUGCCCAUAACCUGAACAUCCUCAAACAAGAAAUGGGGUUCAUUCCUAACAAGAAAAACACUUAGAUGGAUAAACAGUUGUGUCUAUUCAGAUGGGACACAGCUCAGAGUUUUAAGAGAGGGUUUGUAAUAUGAACACACUCAUGCACAGCUCUGCUGUUAGAUGUGGGUUGUGUAGGAUCAUGAGGAGGUCUUUGGCUUUUAGCAUGGCACAGUUAGUCUUUACCAGAUGUGGGGAGUGGGGAAGAGAGGGCUUGAAGUGGAUGUAUCUGAUGGUAAGAGAUGGUCACAGGCCAUGCCUCUCCCUAAUCUCCCUCCUCUCUGCUUACAGAAAACCCAUGCCUGCUCCAUGAACCCAGCUUUUCUUCACCAGCCAUUGGCAGCAUGAAUCCAUGGCAUGCAAAGCUAAAGGGGGUCAAAGGUUGGAACUGAGAUCUGGGGUGGGGUACAAUAAAAGGGCUUGGCUGCCAGAGUAAAUGCUCUUCUGAAGUGGCGAACAGCCAUAUUAGGAGGCGGUCUGUUUCUGUGAUGUCAGGAGAAUAGCUUUAGCAGCUGUGAUUGUGCGGUCAGACAAAGCUAGGAGAGAUUCCUGUAUUCAACGGCAUUUCAUUUUACAAUCUAUAAGGUGUGGGGCCCUAAAAGGGAAAAUAUAAAAAUGUGGGAUUGCCAUUCAAUUCAAGGGUCUUUAGGACUCAUGCUAAAGCAAAGCCCAAUCUAGUGAAAGAAGCACAGAGCAGGUGGAGAGCUCAGACUUCCACAAGAAGACAGAGGAAUCAAUCAAGUCUCUUUCCUGAGGACUUUGGCUGACGACUUGCCCUUUGCUUAACUUUUGGGGUCCAUGACAUGGUGCCUCCAUGAAGAGGUUUAGAAGAAGGCCAGCACAGCCAGCAGCUGGAGGAGGGACAGGGGGGAUUUUGGGGAGUCUUCGAGCCAGAUACUGAGAGGGAGAAAGAGAAUUUGGAUUUUAAGUAGUUUUUCUGUGUGCUAUGGAAUAGCUUGUUCUGUUUUAUGAGAAUGUAUAAAGACAUACAGAGCUUCUUCCUUUCUUCCUGUUUACUUUUAGUCAUCUGCCAGUGUUUUCUGAAUACCAAACCUUGUGAAGAUGAGCGUUGGGAAAGGAGUAGGAAGGUCCCAAUUUGGAAUUUUGACAUCCUAAAAGCCUUGGGUGCCGCAGAAUGAGUAAGCUGGAGGGUACUGUGUAAAGACCUCGGCUACUGCAGCAGAGAAACAGAUCAAAAAAGUCAAGACCGGCGAGAGGAAAGUGAUUGAAAGGCCAUCACUGAAAGAGUGACUCACCCAGGUGCAGAUGAGACACAGAGCUCAUGGUUGCCUCCUGUGAAGUGCAGGAAGGAUGGAGCAGACAGACCCAAAAGCACUGGCCUCCCAGAUGAAUCAGGAGGGAUGUGCAGGCUGGGUGACGUCUGCCCCGGAACCAGGAAAGUGCGGCUGCUUCCUCCACACCCCGCCCGCCGCCCAGGACCCAGGGCCCUUCUGAAAAGUGGAGCCUCCCUACACCCUACGCACACGGCGGCUGUUCCCCACGACACAGCGGGGGGCAAAUGACCACCAGGAGC
RNAcentral lists this long non-coding RNA (4826 nucleotides) under Homo sapiens (human). RNAcentral's name for it is "HSALNT0404306". Lineage: Eukaryota; Metazoa; Chordata; Mammalia; Primates; Hominidae. The record is from RNAcentral.